RNAcentral lists this ribosomal RNA (844 nucleotides) under Haloferax sp. PA14. RNAcentral describes it as "bacterial SSU rRNA". It matches the Rfam family "Archaeal small subunit ribosomal RNA", at positions 52 to 898 of the family's 1478-position model. The record is from RNAcentral. Lineage: Archaea; Methanobacteriati; Methanobacteriota; Halobacteria; Halobacteriales; Haloferacaceae.
UGCUAGUUGCACGAGCUUACACUCGUGGCGAAAGCUCAGUAACACGCGGUCAACUACCCUACAGAGAACGAUAACCUCGGGAAACUGAGGCUAAUAGUUCAUACGGGAGUCAUGCUUGAAUGCCGACUCCCCGAAACGCUCCGGCGCUGUAGGAUGUGACUGCGGCCGAUUAGGUAGACGGUGGGGUAACGGCCCACCGUGCCGAUAAUCGGUACGGGUUGUGAGAGCAAGAACCCGGAGACGGAAUCUGAGACAAGAUUCCGGGCCCUACGGGGCGCAGCAGGCGCGAAACCUUUACACUGCACGCAAGUGCGAUAAGGGGACCCCAAGUGCGAGGGCAUAUAGUCCUCGCUUUUCUCGACUGUAAGGCGGUCGAGGAAUAAGAGCUGGGCAAGACCGGUGCCAGCCGCCGCGGUAAUACCGGCAGCUCAAGUGAUGACCGAUAUUAUUGGGCCUAAAGCGUCCGUAGCCGGCCAUGAAGGUUCAUCGGGAAAUCCGCCAGCUCAACUGGCGGGCGUCCGGUGAAAACCACAUGGCUUGGGACCGGAAGGCUCGAGGGGUACGUCCGGGGUAGGAGUGAAAUCCCGUAAUCCUGGACGGACCACCGAUGGCGAAAGCACCUCGAGAAGACGGAUCCGACGGUGAGGGACGAAAGCUAGGGUCUCGAACCGGAUUAGAUACCCGGGUAGUCCUAGCUGUAAACGAUGCUCGCUAGGUGUGGCACAGGCUACGAGCCUGUGCUGUGCCGUAGGGAAGCCGUGAAGCGAGCCGCCUGGGAAGUACGUCCGCAAGGAUGAAACUUAAAGGAAUUGGCGGGGGGAGCACUACAACCGGAGGAGCCUGC